This 253-nucleotide ribosomal RNA is filed under the name uncultured bacterium. RNAcentral's name for it is "partial 16S ribosomal RNA". It matches the Rfam family "Bacterial small subunit ribosomal RNA", at positions 524 to 776 of the family's 1533-position model. The record is from RNAcentral.
UACGUAGGGUGCAAGCGUUGUUCGGAAUUACUGGGCGUAAAGGGCUCGUAGGCGGCCAACUAAGUCAGACGUGAAAUCCCUCGGCUUAACCGGGGAACUGCAUCUGAUACUGGAUGGCUUGAGUUCGGGAGAGGGAUGCGGAAUUCCAGGUGUAGCGGUGAAAUGCGUAGAUAUCUGGAGGAACACCGGUGGCGAAGGCGGCAUCCUGGACCGACACUGACGCUGAGGAGCGAAAGCCAGGGGAGCAAACGGG